Molecule: long non-coding RNA, 1799 nt
Organism: Aphis gossypii (cotton aphid)
Lineage: Eukaryota; Metazoa; Arthropoda; Insecta; Hemiptera; Aphididae
Exons: 6
Source: RefSeq, a predicted model, not a curated record
UGUUUGACGUCUGUGUCUUAAGUCUUAACUCUUAACCGCAUUUUUAGUCUAGUGAUGGAAAUAAUCAAAACAUUCCAUUAUUAUUUUUCGACUAUCAAAAUAAUCGAAAGAUUUUGAUGAUCGAAAUAAUGAUAUUAGACGUACCUAUAUUAUGUACCUAUCAAGAGCAAAUUAAUCGAAUUAUUCCAAAAAAUUGUGUGUUAUACAUUUAUCAAAAAGUACAAAACUACAUAAUAAUUGUCAAAAAUCAUUUCAUUUUCAUAAAUAUUUAUUAAUCAGUAUAAUUAAUUCAAUUUUAAAUUAAAGAUAUAAAUAAUAAAAUAAUAUUAAGUACAAAAUCCUUGUUAAUUUAUGAAAUAAAAUACGAGCACUCUCUUAUACAGUUUUAAAUGACUAACAAUGAAUUUAAAGUUAAUUCAUUAAUAUUGAAUUACCAUUUAAAAAAAUAAUAUAGUAUAAAUUAUUAGGAUUUUGUCGAUUUCGGCCGUCAAUGGUCAACUGACCCGUUUUCGAAAAUACGCGUUCAGAAGGAACAGAAUUCGCAGGAACACUCAAAUAUUUGAGUGCAAGUUUGUUAAGUUCUGGAAAUGUAUUUUUAUGUUGAUUCCAAAAUUGCAGAGGACAUUUGGUUCAUCUUAAGUAGGGCAUUUUUAAGUAUUGACAAAGCAUCAGUGAAGCUGAAAUGUCUGCUAAUAAAUUAGUUUUGAUUAAUUUUGAAACUACUAUCAAACUGUUCCCAUAAUAAUGUAGGUUUAAUGUUUAUCAAGGUAAAGUAGAUUCAAUGAUAUCACGAGUAUUUUUUAUUAUACAUUUAAGUUUGUUAAUUAUCCGAUUUUAAUAUUAUUAUAAAUUAUAAAGAUAUAAUAUAGAUAUUAAAAAUAUUAAUAUAAGAUUAUUAAAAUCAUUCAAUUAUUCCCAUCACUAAUUAUUACCUACAUUGUCAAUAUGAUUUAUAUGGUGAACGGACACCUAGAUCCCUCGAUAGCUAUAGACAUGAUGGUGACUAACUGACGCAAGAGGAUUUAAUUAACAAACAUUGAUAAUUUAAGAUUCUUAGGUUUACUAAAGAUCCAGAAAAAAGAAAAUGUUGGAUAAAUUCAUUACAUUUAAAAAUUAAUGUUAAAGACUGACGCCUCUAUGCAGUUUACAUUUUACAUCAGAAAACUAUGCAUUUAGCAAUGAAAGAAAAAUAUUAAAACAAGAUGCAAUACCACUAUUUUUGACUGAAGUUGACAGAGGCAAUACUGUGACACUUAUUUCCCAGCCAGAUGCCCAGAUUAACCUAUUGACACUUUAUCAGUUGCAUUAAACAACUUGGUUGAAAUGGAUCACAGUGGCCCAUCAAUCCUUGUGGAUUCUAUACCAGCUUCCUUAAACAACUCGACAGAAACAGUAAUAGCUUUUGAGGUUUUAAUGUUUCUAAUAUAUCACCAGUACCAGACCCGUAGCCAGACCAAAUUUUCAGGUCUUUUAAAACUGCUGGCACUUCAAGUACAUUACCAUAGGUAAUGCUCUAGUAAGAUUGAUGAUGAUUUCUCAACACCGAUAUUCAUUAAUUUUUUCAAAAUGCAUGUUUUUAUAUUAAGACAUUCGGGUGAAAUGUCAUCUUUUGUACAGUAUGUUUCUAUAUUUAUCAUGGUUUUAUUUGUUUUAUUGUAUUAUUGUGUUAUGUUUAAUAUAACUUGUGUUUUGUUUGUUUUAUUGUAUUAUUUUGUUAUGUUUAUUACGACUUGGUGUUUUGUUUGUAUUAUUGUAAUAUUAUGUUACCUAUGUUUAAAAUAAAUUGUGUUUGUUUUUAA